RNAcentral lists this long non-coding RNA (13619 nucleotides) under Daucus carota (carrot). Its description in RNAcentral is "long non-coding RNA (DCAR_LNC003936)". The record is from RNAcentral. Lineage: Eukaryota; Viridiplantae; Streptophyta; Magnoliopsida; Apiales; Apiaceae.
ACAAUGGAGGAUCCGAGUCCGCCAUGGCUGCAACCAUCUUGGUUACCCAGCCAAGAUACGGGUCAGAUCUCCCAAGCUCCCACUGGGGUUCGCUCCAAUUAGAAUACAUAUCCAUCAUCAUCAUAGCCUCCCUGUUUAUUUAAUUUACUUGCUCUUAGACAGAAACUCUGAAAUAGAUAGAAACAUGCAUGCAUCCAAUGCCAUCCAUACAUAAUGGAGAGUGGAAUGGAAUUGGUGGUGAAGGAAGUGAAGAAGAAAUAAUUAUACAGUAAAUUCCCCAGAAAGCAAACAGACAAUGCCUUUGAAUCAUCUGUAUCUGCAGCAGCAGCAACAACAACAACAAUAAGAGUAGAUUGUGUGAAACUGCAAAGGUCGGUUGAUUGAGAAUGGUGUUAGAAAUCAUGGGCUAAGCAGAGAGGGGCAACCGGCCUUGGAAACCAUUAUUAUCCUCUCCACCGCCUCAUUCUUCUAAGAGCAAACCCCAGCUUUUUGCUGCUCUCUUUACCAAACGCACUCCCUUAUAUGUUGAUGUUUUUUAGUAUUAUUUUUGUUGAGUAAUUGUCUUGGUUUUGGUGUUUAAUUUUUAAUUUCACUUGGUGGUUGAAAUGCUUGAGGGGAGGUUCAUGGUACUAGUUUGUGUAGACCGUGGAGAGAGAAUUCAAUUCUGUCAAAGAUGUGCCUUUGAUUUAUUCAUUUAUUAAAAAAAUCAAAGUUAUAAAUAUUUGAGGAAAAAAUAUAAUUGAAAGUAUAAGCCAGCUAUUGUGAUUAUAAUUAAAAUCAAAACGCAUAUAUUUUCGAUACAUAUGAUAUUUCUUUAUAGGUUUCAAAAAAAUAUAUGAUAUUUCUUUAUAUAAAUCUGUAAGUAAUUUUAUAUAUUACUGUUAUACAAAAUAUUUUUAUACUACUGAAUUAGAAGUCGAGAAGUAUAUUUCAUACAAGUGUGUACUACGAGAUGGCAUGGACAACAGACUAGAUUUAAUUAUUUUUUGAAGAUAAACAUACCAUUUUUUUUUUGUCCUGAGGUAUUUCUAAUUUAGAUUAUCUUUUUCCUAAUUAAAAUAAACUCCUCCAGAUAGCAUAGAUCAAAUAACAAAAAAAAGAUAAUUAGCAAAAAAAAAAUAACUAAAAAGAUUGAUUAGAUUCUUUCCUAGAAAAGAAUAACAAACAAAAUAGAUCAAAUGUCUAAAAAGAUUGAUCAGACUCUUUCCUAGAUCAGACUCUUUCCUAGAAAUGAGGGGUCGUUUAGUUCGUAGGUUUCUGGAAUGAGGUAUGGGGUUUGUCCAUUCCAAACUCAUACCUGGUGUUUGGUUGACAAAAAUAAAAUCUGAAACUCAUACCUUAAACCCCAAAGUAUGGGUUUUUGAUACACAAGUGGGGAGGUGGGUAUGAGAUGGAGGUAUGAGCUAUAUUCAUUUUUUAUUUUUUUUCCCUCUCUUUAAGUAAUGAAAUAUAAAUGUUUGAUAAAAAAUUAAAUCAAUGAUGCAAAAAUAUAUGACAAUAACAAUUUUAUUAAUAUUUUUAAUUAAUAUAUAUUAAUAACUUAUUUUUUAUAAAAAUUGUAUAUAUUGAUUCCAACACUCAACCAAACACAUGAUAUCAGAUAUGAUACCUCAAACUCAUACCAGCUUAACCCGAUUUCUCAUUCCAACCCGAUACCACUCCUCAAACCAAACAACCCCUAAGGAGUAGCAAACAAAAAUCGUUUGGUCAAUUACGAUGCUCGAUUCCCCGAAUACCAAAAAAACAUAAAAAUGAACUGGAUCUUUUGGAAACACCCAUGUCCACUAGUUGUCUAGCAUGAUUGUAGCAUUUUAGGUUGAAAAAAUAACAAAAGUCAAAAAAAUGCAUUGAAAUUAAAAUUUUGUGGUAAAAUUAGAAGACAUUACUUUAAUAUAUUUUGAAUUGUACUGCUUUAAGAAAGUUCACGAAUUUACAAUAAAAAACAAGACAUUGUUUUAAAUCAUUGAAAAGGUGAUUAAUAAGUAAUAACCAUCCUUUUUGAGGAAAAAAUAAAGAGGAUUUUCUUCUAUUGCUAAACUGCCCUUAAAUAAUUUUUUAAUAUAAAAAUGUUAUACGAACAUCUUGUUAAAAAAUUUUAAAUUAGAUAUCAAAAAUAUAGGCUACAAUAGCAUAAUUAACCCUAAAAAAUUUCAUCCGUAAUAAAAAAUUAUAAAUAAGAUUAUUCCAACUCCUUUAACUUAUUUCUUAUUUUUAAUAAUUAAAUUAAUCAAAUAUUAAUCGAAUAUUAAACAUAAAAUAAAAAUGAAUGAUAGAAGAUUAACUUAAAAAGAAAAAGAUAACAAUGGAGUGAGGCUCAGAUCUGUAAAAAGCGGAGACACCGGAGGAUCUAAUUCCGCCAUGGCUGCAACCAUCCAGUUGCUUGCGAAUCGCAAGCCAUCCGGCGUUGCCCAGCCAAGAUACGGGUCAGAUUCCCCCGAGCCCCAACCGGGGUUCGCUACAAUUAGAUUAUAAAACAUUAUCAUCAUAGCCUCUUUGUUAAUAGCUGCGCCAUCGGAGACUCUGGAGAUGCUCUAGUACAUGAAUUCAUGCAGAUCACUUAAGUGAAGGGGAAUGGCGUUGAUAUGGUAGAAUGCUUUGUUAAUAUUAUUUUAAUAAUAAUAAUAAAUUAUUAUGGGCUACAUAUAUAAAUAUAUCAAUUAUAUUUAAUUAUUUAUUUUAUUGGGUUAAAUUACGUGAUCAAAUCAGUGUUCUAAAAGUCGGCGAUUAAUCGGGAUUAAUCGCCGAUUAAUCGCUGUUCGGUCGGCCACCGUCUCGAUUAAGCGUUAAUCGGCGAAAAAAUAGUUUUUUCUGAAAAUCGGGAUUAAUCGGUCAAAAGUCGGGAUUAAUCGGAAAAAGUCGGUCAAAAAUCGGUGAAUUUAAAAAAAUUAAAAAUAAAAAGUAAAAAAAUCUUAAAAUUCUAAAAUUUAAUUUUAAAUAAAACAAAAGGCACGGAAAUGACAAAACACAUAAAUUAAAGUUGUUUUAUUACCUUUCACUCUUUCAAUAUUAACUUUAAACUCUAAUUACAUAAAUUUGCAAUAUCUUCCUUCGCAGAUUCAAUCAAAUUCAAGUUUAUAUAUGAGAUGAAUGGAUUUGUAUAUGUAUAUAAAGGCAUGUUUUGUGUUAUAAAAAAUCAUUAAUCUUUUGAUUUUAUAUGACUAUAAAUUUAUACUAUAUAUAAUUAUAUUAAUAUAUACUAUUAUUUAAAAAAUAAUAUUAAAUUGAUUACGAUUAAUGAUCCGAUUAAUCACUCCGAUUAAUCUCCGAUUAUCCGAUUAAUCGCUAGACGGUGCCUUCACCGACUAAGUCCGAUUCCCGCUUUUUACAACACUGGAUCAAAUAAGAAACCCAAUUAGAUUUUAAUUAUUGUGUGGGUCAAAUGAGUGGAUACUCAAUACUAAGGCCUAAUCAAUAUAUAUAUAUAAAGGAGGAUGCGGGCGUCUCUACAAUUGCUCGAUUCAGUCCUCUGAAUUUUCUUGAUUUUCGGAGAGAAAAUAUAGUUAUAAUUCAAAAAAUCAGGUCCAAGAAUUCUGAAAGUAAUACAAUUCUUUUCUUAUUUAAUUCUAAAGAUGAUACAGUUCUUUUCUUAUUUGGUAUUUUUUAUUAAACUCUAAAGAUGAUACAAUAGUAUUUCUUAUUGAAUUCUAAAGAUGAUACAAUUCUUUUCUUAUUUAGGAAUCCAAAACAAAUAGGAUUAUAUUUAUUCAAACUAAUAAUAAUAGAUAAAAUACAAUUUAUAUUUAAGAUAUGUAAAGUAAUAUAUACAAUUCUUAUUUUCGAUAAGAUAUAUUGAAGAUAUGUUUAACGGGUACACGAUUGAAAAUAACUUUUAUGGAAUUAUAAUAGUAUUUCGUAUCAAACUUUAUAAAAAAAAUUAUUUAUUAGUAUUGUGUUUAAGGGGAGGGCGGCCCAAAUUAAUUUUUACCUAAAUAAUAAUAUUUUUUUAUUAGUAUUAUGUUUGAUGGGAAAGUAGCUAAAACAAUUUUUUGUCUAGAUUUAUAAAAAAUUCAUAACGCCGCCGCGAAGCGCGGCUUUUUUCACUAGUCAGUAUAUAUAUAUAAAGGAGGAUGCGGGCGUCUCUACGAUUGUUCGAUUCAGUCUUCUGAUUUUUCUUAAAUUUCGGAGAGAAAAUAUAGUUAUAAUUCAAAAAAUCUGGUUCAAGAAUUCUAGAGGUAAUACAAUUCUUUUCUCAUUGAAUUCUAAAUAUGAUACAAUUUUUUUCUUAUUUAGUAUUUCUUAUUGAAUUCUAAAGAUGAUACAAUAGUAUUUCUUAUUGAAUUCUAAAGAUUAUACAAUUCUUUUUAUAUUUACUAAUCCUAAAAGUAAUAGGACUAUAUUUAUUGAAACUAAUAAUAAUAGAUAAAAUAUAAUUUAUAUUUAAUAUUUGUUAAGUAAUAUAUACAAUUCUUAUUUUCGAUAAGAUAUAUUGAAGAUGUAGUUGAAUUUUAUAUUAUAAAAUUUUAUUUUAAAUAUGUUCGAAUUAUAAAGUUGGCAUCUCUAGAAUUGUUCGAUUCAGUUUAUAAUUUUCUUAAAUUUCGGAUAGAAAAUAAAAUUAUAAUAAAAACCAAAUUCAAAUAUUUUAUAGAUAAAACGAUUGCAAAGAUAGUACAAUUCUUUUACUUAUUUAGAAAUCAUAAAAGAUUAGGAUUCCAUUUAUUCAAAAUAACAAUUAUAGAACAAAUAUAAUUAAAAAAAAUACAAUUUUUAUUUUCAAAAGUUAUAAAAAUUUUCCUUCAAAAAAAAAGUUGUAAAAUUUAUAAUCUUAUUUUAUUAAUUUUUUUCAAAUUAUAUAUUAAAAAAAAAUAAAAACCAGCAUCUUCUAGAAUCUCACAUUGUCUAAACAGGUUCGUAGCGCUAGACUCGCGUCGUUCCAUAAUGAUCAACAAGAAAAUAACAUAAAACAUCUCUGACAUAUUUGCAGGCUCUCAAAUAGUAUGCAUGGACUUACGACCAAUCUCGACAAUAGUUCGAUUCAGUCAUAUAAUUUUCUUGAAUUUCGAAUAGAAAAUAAAAUUAUAAUUCCAAAAAUCAAAUUCAAGGAUCUUCUUAUUUAGGAAUCCUAAAAGAAAUAGGAUUUUAUUUAUUUAAACUAACAAUCAUUGAAAAAAUACAAUUUAUAGUUAAAAUUUGUAAGGUAAUAUGUACAAUUUUUAUUUUCGAUUUAGUUUUAUAAUUUUCUUAAAUUUCGAGUAGAAAAUCAAGGAUUAUAAAGAUAAUAAUCAUUAAAAAAGACUAAUAGCACAAAAAUAAGAAUAAUAGAAGAAUAAUAUUUUUUAACUAAUAAAUAGGAAUCAUUAAAUAAUAAUAAUAAUAAAUAAAUACGAUAUAUAAAAUAGGAAUUAUAUAUUGAUUUUAUGAUAAUCAAAAUGAUUCUUGAUUAGUAUUAUGUUUGACGGGCACGGGAGGCGGCCCAAACUAAUUUUUAUCUAAAUAAUAAUAAUAUUUUUAUUAGUUUUGUGUUUGACGGGCACGAGAGGGCCCAAACUAAUUUUUAUCUAAAUAAUAAUAAUUUUUCCAUUAGUAUUUUGUUUGACGGGAAAGUGGCUAAAAUAAUUUUUUUAUCUAUGUUAUAAUAUAUUUCUUUUCCUAAAACAGGACCACAGUUCAAAAUAAUUUUUAUCCAAUUAUAAGCUUUAAUAUUACAAGUUUCAUAUAUUAUUCUAUUUCAUCAUUUAUGAAUAGAUAUUACACGCCGUCACGAAGUAAUCACACCUUAUAUCAAACGGCUUUUAUGAAGCAAACAAAUUUUUACAAUAAUACACCCUAAUAUAGCAUACAUCCAAAAAUUCUUGAUAAUUUGAUAGAAUAUUAAAUGAGGACCACUUAAGCAAAUUUUUAUACUAAUUAUAAUAUUUUUUUUAUUAGUCAUAUGUUUAACGAUUAUUUAUUUUAUUGGGUUAAAUUACGUGAUCAAAUAAGAAAUCCAAUUAGAUUUUAAUUAUUGUGUGGGUCAAAUGAGUGGAUACCCAAUACUAAGGCCUAAUUUAAUUAUAAUGGGAGAUUAAAUUGAGCGUUAGAAUACAGAAGGUUAUAGUCCCCAAUAUAUCAAGCAACACAUACAGUCUUUCUUUACCCAUCAGAGAGGACUACUAGAGAAAACCUAAGGAGUGCUUGGUUGAGGAAGACAAUAACGCUGCUUCAAAAGCAAGAUUACUUAAGGUUAUACCACUAUCAUCACUAAUGGAUACAGGUAUGCUUCCGCUUACAGUUUAUAACUCGAUAGUUGAAUAUGAUGUUUACGAUCCUUGUCUCUAUUAUAGAGAAUUUGUGCUUAUAGAAUUAUAAGUUUCUUACCAUUGGCAUCAGAGCCACUUCAUAUUUGAUUAUUGAGUGUACAGUUUUUGCAUAUGUUUUGAAAUCGGUUAAUCUGAUUUGUUCGGUUAUUGUUUUCCGAGAGGAUUUGUGUGCACGCACAGUCUGGCUAAUUUUUUGACACUUGAAUUGCGUUUGCGUGAUUUCACUUCGGUCAAAUUUUCUUUUACACACGCGCAUGUCCAGUAAAAUUUUGAAUUGUUAAGGUUCAACCCCAUGGUUAUUUUAAUUAUGUAACUGUUGAUCAUGGAUGCAUGUUACUUUUGUAUGUCAUGCAUUAUAAUACCAUAUCAUACUUGGUACUUUUGUUUUUUUUUGUUUAGUAAGCUCCAUGUUAAUGGUUAAAGUGAUGCUCUGGAUUCAGUUUAUUAUUAUGCAGUAAUACAGUACCUAGCAUGUUGAGUCAUAUUUUUAUAUAAUUUGGUUAAUUUGCUGCAAAUAAAGAAAAUGUAUUAUGGUUAUGUGUUAAAUUUUAAUAUUGGCAAAAUAUUAUUAACCUAUUUAGUUAGGUGGUCAAAUAAUUUUAAGUUAAUUGAUUGAAGCAAUAUGUUGCCAAAGUAACCUCUUUUGUGUAGAUUAGUUAAUUUAAAAGUAUUAUUAUGACGAUUGAAUAUUUAAUUUAAUGCAAAUUUUAUCGGCCCAAAGGAAGAUAAAUAUUUGGCCAAAAUUAAAAUAUUCUUGUGAUAGUAAGUAUGUAGCAAUAUAAAGUUUUUUUUUCAUGUGAAUAAUAAGUCGGUCCAAAGAAAGGCAUAUUAUUUGACAGAAAUUAAUUGUUAAUACUUGAUUAGUGCGUGGAGAGUACCAAUUGCAAAUUAAAUUUUCUGUCCAAAGACUAAAAUUUAUUGUUGCGCUAGGUAUCUUGUGAUGGUGUUGCCAAUAAUAAAAUUUAUUAUAUUAUUAUAUAUGUUAGUGUUGAGCAUUUUCUGUAAAUUUGUUUUCUAUUGCAGUUAUGACUACAGUUAAUUCUGCUUCUGCUCAAUUGAGCAUGAUUCCAAUGUUGAAUGGGACAAACUAUGUCACAUGGAAAGAGACUGUUGAGAUUGUUCUUGGGUGCAUGGAUCUUGACCUUGCGCUAAGGAAAGAGCAACCAGUUCCCACUACGGAUGAUCCGAAAACGGAUCAAAUUGAUAAGUGGGAACGCUCUAAUCGCAUGUGUAUGGCGAUCAUGAAGCGAACGAUCCCAACUGGCUUUCGGGGCUCCAUUGCUGAGAGCACAAGUGCCAAGAAGUUCCUCUCUGAAAUUGAGCAAUAUUUUGCUAAGAAUGAGAAAGCGGAAACGAGUAAUCUUCUGUCAAAACUCGUGACCAUGAAGUAUAAAGGAAAGGGGAACAUAAGGGAGUACAUCAUUGGGAUGUCUAAUCUUGCAGGCAAACUUAAGGAACUCAAGUUAGAACUUUCAGAUGAGCUGCUUGUUCACUUGGUUCUGAUUUCUCUCCCUCCUCAGUUUGGACACUUUGUGGUGAGUUACAAUACUCAAAAGGAAAUUGGACUCUUAAUGAGCUCAUUUCACACUGUGUGCAAGAGGAGGAGAGGGUUUUGCGAGAGAAGACUGAAAGUGCUCACUUGGCAUCGAGCUCUCAUGAUAAGAAAAAAAAGAGAGGUAAGGAUUCUGCAAGUGGAAAACCCAAGCAACCUUCGCAAGAGAAGCAGGAUAAGGGACCAACCUGUUACUUUUGUAAGAAGGCUGGAUAUAUGAAGAAUGAGUGUUCCAAAUAUGCUGCUUGACGUGUGAAGAAGGGUAUGACUUUUGUCUUUGUUUGUUCUGAAGUUAAUUUAGCUUCUGUACCUAAAGAUACUUGGUGGGUAGAUUCUGGUGCUACUACUCAUAUAAGUGUAUCAAUGCAGGGUUGCCUGUGGAGCCGACCGCCAACUGAUGCUGAAAGAUACAUCUAUGUGGGUGACGGCAAUAAAGUUUCAGUUGAAGCAGUUGGAACAUUUAGAUUGUUAUUAAAAACUGGUGUUUAUUUGGAUUUAUUUGAGACUUUUGUUGCACCGUCUUUUAGACGGAAUCUUAUUUCUAUUUCCUGUUUGGACAAAUAUGGCUACACUUGUUCCUUUGGAAAUAAUAAAGUUUGUUUCUCAUUAAAUUCAAAUGUGGUUGCUACUGGUUCUUUAAUUGAUAAUCUUUAUAUGCUUGAGACUGUUACUUUUAAUAAUGAAAUUUUGCACUCAAGUGCAAGAGGUACAAAGCGUAAGAUAACUGAGAAUUCUGCCAUGUUGUGGCACAAGCGCUUAGGACACAUCUCUAAACAGAGAAUUCAGAGGCUUGUGAAUGAUAGAAUUCUUGAUCCCUUAGAUUUAAGUGAUUUUCAGGUUUGCAUAGAAUGCAUUAAGGAAAACAAACAAACUCAAGAAAGUUAGGUGCCAACAGAGCUACUAGUGUCUUAGAACUGAUUCAUACCGAUAUAUGUGGACCAUUCCCUACGGCCUCUUGGAACGGUCAAUGGUAUUUUAUCACGUUCAUAGACGAUUACUCAAGAUAUGGUUACCUAUACUUAAUACAUGAGAAGUCACAAGCUUUGGAUGUGUUUAAGGUCUUCAAAGCUGAAGUUGAGAAACAGCGUGGUAAGCCAAUUAAAGCUGUCAGGUCUGAUCGUGGUGGUGAGUACUACGGUAGAUAUGAUGGAUCAGGUGAACAACGUCCAUGGCCCUUUGCUAACUUCCUAAAGGAGUGUGGGAUUGUCCCUCAGUACACUAUGCCAGGCAAACCUAAUAUGAAUGGUGUUGCUGAGAGGCGAAACCGUACUCUUAAAGAUAUGGUGAGAAGUAUGAUAAGUCAUUCUUCUUUACCUGAAUCACUUUGGGGAGAUGCACUAAUGACUGCUAUUUAUAUCCUUAAUAGAGUUCCAACAAAGGCAGUGGCCGAAACCCCCUUACAAACUUUGGACUGAUAAAACUCCAAGUAUUAGGCAUUUACAUGUUCGGGGUUGUCCAGCUGAGGCAAGGCCAUAUAGACCAAAUGAAAAGAAACUGGACUCAAGGACGGUCAGUUGCUAUUUUGUUGGAUAUCCGGAGCGUACUCGCGGAUUUAAAUUUUAUGAUCCCGCUACUAGAUCCUUCUUCGAGACUGAUAAUGCAAGAUUUUUUGAGGAUGUUGAUUUUGGGAGGGAAGAUAUAGGUAGAAGUGUUGUCUUUGAAGAAGAUAGUCAUGAUCUUAUUCAUGACACGACCGAGAGCAAUGAUCAGAUUAUGGUACCUAUCAUUGUUCAAGGCCCUCCGGUUCAAGACAACACUGCAUUCCCCAUGAGGAACCAAUUGAUCAAACUCAACAACCUCAUGAAUCACAAGAAGUGCCACUAAGGAGAUCCACUAGAGAGCGAAAGAGCGCAAUUCCAGAUGAUUAUGUUGUUUUUCUACAAGAACAUGAAGAUGGAAUUGGCAUUGGAGAAGAUGAUCCUGUAAAUCUUCAACAGGCCAUGCAGAGUCCUCAUGCUCAAAAGUGGAUCGAUGCCAUGAAUGAAGAGAUGCAAUCUAUGAAAGACAAUGACGUUUGGGAUCUUGUCGAGUUGCCUAAAGGAUCAAAGCCUGUUGGUUGCAAAUGGGUUUUUAAAACCAAAAAGGAUUCAAAAGGUAACAUCGAAAGAUAUAAGGCUCGUCUAGUCGCAAAAGUAUUCACUCAAAAGAAAGCUAUCGACUAUAAUGAAACUUUCUCUCCAGUUUCCACGAAAGACUCAUUUAGAAUUUUUAUGGCGCUUGUGGCUCAUUAUGACCUAGAGCUACAUCAGAUGGACGUAAAGACAGCGUUUCUCAAUGGUAACAUUGGAGAGACAAUUUAUAUGGUGCAACCAGAAAAUUUUGUCAUUCGAGAUCCAAAGACAAUGGUUUGCAGAUUAAAGAAGUCCAUCUAUGGUCUCAGACAGGCCUCUCGUGAAUGGUAUCACAAAUUUCAUCAUGUUAUCACAUCAUAUGGUUUUGAAGUGAACUUGGUGGAACAUUGUGUAUAUCACAAGUUCAGUGGGAGCAAAUUUAUCUUUCUUCUCUUAUACGUUGAUGACAUCUUACUUGCCACUAAUGAUAUAGGCUUAUUGCACGAUACCAAGAAAUUUCUCACUAAUCAAUUUGAGAUGAAGGAUCUUGGUAACGCCUCUUUUGUAUUAGGAAUUCAGAUACAUCGAGAUCGCUCUCGAGGUAUUCUUGGAUUGUCGCAAAAGAGCUAUAUCGAAAAGAUCCUGGAAAGGUAUGUCAUGAAAGAUUGUGCACUAAUGGAUACACCCGUGUCUAAAGGAGACAAAUUCAGUCUCAAACAAUGUCCCAAGAAUGAACUUGAGAUAAAAGAAAUGCAGAAGAUACCAUAUGCCUCGGCAGUGGGAAGUCUGAUGUAUGCUCAAGUUUGUACUCGUCCUGACAUAGCAUUGAUUGUUGGAAUGUUGGGAAGAUAUUUGAGCAAUCCGGGGAUGGAACAAUGGAAAGCAGUAAAAUGAGUCCUACGGUAUUUUAAGAAAACAAAAGACUAUAUGCUCACAUAUAGGAAAUCAGAUCAUCUCGAAAUCAUUGGAUAUUCGGAUUCUGACUUUGGAGGAUGCAAAGAUGAAAGAAAAUCUACUUCAUGCUAUGUUUAUUUAUUAGCUGGUGGAGCGAUUUCAUGGAAGUCUGCUAAACAGACGCUCAUAGCUUCAUCCACCAUGGCUGCGGAGUAUAUAGCAUGCUUUGUGGCAUCCAAUCAAGCAUUAUGGCUGCGAAAUUUUGUCACUGGUUUGCGUAUUCUUGAUGGUGUUGAAAGAUUAUUAAAGAUAUUAUGUGAUAAUAAAUCAGCAGUGGAGUAUUCUAAUAACAAUAGGAGCACUACUGAAGCAAAACAUAUAGAUAUCAAGUUACUAGUUGUUAAAGAAAAGAUACAGAGUGGACAAAUUUCUAUAGAACACAUUGGGACUAACUCCAUGAUUGCGGAUCCGCUCACCAAGUCGUUAGCACCUAAGGUUUUUCACGAGCAUAUUGCUCAUAUGGGUGUUACCUCAUGUGAUACUUUGGUUUAGUGGGAGUUUGUAUUUUGGUGUGUUACGUAAUAAACAUUGAGAUGUUUAUGUUCUGCAGAAUACAGUUGAUGGAAUUUUAGUUCAUUAAUUGUCACUCUACUUUUGUUCAAUUUUCUUAUUGUGGUUUAAACAUUGAGUUGAGAAAAUUUAUAUAAAUCUCAUUAGAGAUUGACUAAGGACUAGUUGGAAAUAGGCAUUAUAUAGAUCACAUUGUAUGUAAUUUCCAUGUCACUUAUCCAUACUUUGAUUCAUGUCGUUGAAUAUAUUUGUGUGGUGACCACGGAAGGUUUAGUCGCGUAAAGUUUGUGACGAAUACCGCCAGAAUCUCAUACCUAUAUAGUAGAUGGACCGAAUUGUUUUAGUAAAAUCUAAGGACAAUGAAUAGCAUAAGGUUGCGCACUAAAGAUAUGUAUAAUUGAUUUUGGAUUUAAUAUGAAGCCCAAGUGGGAGAUUGUUAUUAUUAUUUUAAUAAUAAUAAUAAAUUAUUAUGGGCUACAUAUAUAAAUAUAUCAAUUAUAUUUAGUUAUUUAUUUUAUUGGGUUAAAUUACGUGAUCAAAUAAGAAAUCCAAUUAGAUUUUAAUUAUUGUGUGGGUCAAAUGAGUGGAUACCCAAUACUAAGGCCUAAUUUAAUUAUAAUGGGAGAUUAAAUUGAGCGUUAGAAUACAGAAGGUUAUAGUCCCCAAUAUAUCAAGCAACACAUACAGUCUUUCUUUACCCAUCAGAGAGGACUACUCGAGAAAACCUAAGGAGUGCUUGGUUGAGGAAGACAAUAACGCUGCUUCAAAAGCAAGAUUACUUAAGGUUAUACCACUAUCAUCACUAAUGGAUACAGGUAUGCUUCCGCUUACAGUUUAUAACUCGAUAGUUGAAUAUGAUGUUUACGGUCCUUGUCUCUAUUAUAGAGAAUUUAUGCUUAUAGAAUUAUAAGUUUCUUACAAUUGGCAUCAGAGCCACUUCAUAUUUGAUUAUUGAGUGUACAGUUUUUGCAUAUGUUUUGAAAUCGGUUAAUCUGAUUUGUUCGGUUAUUGUUUUCCGAGAGGAUUUGUGUGCACGCACAGUCUGGCUAAUUUUUUAACACUUGAAUUGCGUUUGCGUGAUUUCACUUCGGUCAAAUUUUCUUUUAAACUAAUGAGUUAAAACCCUAGUUUCUCGGUUUCCCCUCUUUAUAUAUCUCACCGGUCCCAUAAUUCCUUUUUACCAAACUACCCUUGCUAAAAAAAUUAGAAUAUAAUAACUUUGGUUUCAUUUUCCCAAUAUGUUAUAAAUUAAACAUAUUAUGUAAUUAAAUUUAGUUUUUUUUUGGAAAAUACGCUCAUCUUUUAAAUUUUGACAAAAAUAUUUUUACUUUGGAAACUUUGAAAAUUAUUAUUUAUUGAAUUUCUUACAAAAUUACUUAAUUUUUUAUGCUACAAUCAAAUGCAUACUCAAUUAAAAGUAGUUCAAUUUUUCGGUUACGGAGAGCCAUAAAUACUUGCAAAAUAGAAUAAGAAUUAACAAAUUAUAUUUUUAUUACAAAUAUAUUUUAUCCAUUUCAAAUUUAUUUUACCAUUUUUAUAAAUUUUACAAAGUGAUUUUUAUUUAAAGUUGUGGUCAAUUGAAAAGCCAUACAAGACUUUUACAGUAGAGAGCAGAAACUAUUAAAAGACAAAUAAACUUAUAUUAUUAUUAUUAUGUAUGAAUUAUAGAAAAUAAAAAGAUUAAUUGAUUAAAAGAGGUCACAAAACAAAGGGGAUGGAGUGAGGCUCAGAUCUGCAAAAAGUGAAGACAAUGGAGGAUCCGAUUCCGCCAUGGCUGCAACCAUCUUAGUUACCCAGCCAAGAUACGGGUCGGAUCUCCCAAGCUCCCACUGGGGUUCGCUCCAAUUAGAUUACAUAUACAACAUCAUCAUAGCCUCGUUGUUUAUUUCACUUGCUCUUAGACAGAUACUGGAAUAGAUAGAUACAUGCAUGCAUCCAAAGCCAUCCAUACAUAAUGGAGAGUGGAAUGGAAAUGGUAGUGAAGGAAGUGAAGUAGAAAUAAUAAUACAGUAAUUUCCCCAGAAAACAAAGAAUCAUCUGUAUCUGCAGCAGCAACAACAACAAGAAUAGAUUGUGUUGCAAAGGUCGGUUGAUUAAGAGUGGUGUUAGAAAUCAUGGGCUAAGUAGAGAGGGGCAACCGGCCUUAGAAACCUUUUUUAUCCUCUCCACCGCCUCAUUCUUCUAAGAGCAAACCCCAGCUUUUUGCUGCUCUCUUUACCAAACGCACCGCUCCCUUAUAUCUUGAUGCUUUUUUUUAAUUAUUUUUUGUUGGGUAAUUGUCUUGGUUUUGGUGUUUAAUUUUUAAUUGCACUUGGU